Molecule: ribosomal RNA, 507 nt
Filed under: uncultured bacterium
Lineage: Bacteria
Description: bacterial SSU rRNA
Rfam family: Bacterial small subunit ribosomal RNA
Source: RNAcentral
GAUCAUGGCUCAGGAUGAACGCUAGCGACAGGCCUAACACAUGCAAGUCGAGGGGCAGCGGGGGAGCAAUCCUGCCGGCGACCGGCGCACGGGUGAGUAACGCGUAUGUAACCUGCCCAUAAGUGGGGGAUAGCCCAGCGAAAGCUGGAUUAAUACCGCAUAAUACCGUUUGAGGACAUCUGAUAAUGGUUAAAGAUUUAUUGCUUAUGGAUGGACAUGCGUCUGAUUAGCUAGUUGGCGGGGCAACGGCCCACCAAGGCGACGAUCAGUAGGGGUUCUGAGAGGAAGGUCCCCCACAUUGGUACUGAGACACGGACCAAACUCCUACGGGAGGCAGCAGUGAGGAAUAUUGGUCAAUGGGCGGAAGCCUGAACCAGCCAAGUCGCGUGAAGGAAUGAAGGUAUUAUGUAUUGUAAACUGCUUUUAUGCGGGGAUAAAGUCGCCCACGUGUGGGUGUUUGCAGGUACCGCAUGAAUAAGGACCGGCUAAUUCCGUGCCAGCCGCUGC